Molecule: RNA transcript, 2198 nt
Organism: Sinocyclocheilus grahami
Lineage: Eukaryota; Metazoa; Chordata; Actinopteri; Cypriniformes; Cyprinidae
Gene name: potassium channel subfamily K member 13-like
Exons: 4
Source: RefSeq, a predicted model, not a curated record
GUCAUUUCCUGCUAGUGAUCAAGUCAUGCCACAUAGAAGAGAUGUCAGCAACAGCUGUUGCCUCCCACUUCACCUGAAUGAAGACAAUGCCCGUUUUGGCUUGUUGGCGGCCCUCAUCCUCCUCUACCUGCUGUGUGGGGCGGUGGUGUUCUCUGCACUCGAGCAUCCCUCUGAGCUGCAGGCUCACCGCCGCUGGGACCAACAGCUGGCCAACUUCACCGAGCAAAACAGUAUAAACCUAAAAUCCCUACAUGUCCUGCUAAAGCAAUAUGAGGAGGCCUUUGCGGCUGGGAUCCGUGUGGACAAACUUAGGCCCCGCUGGGAUUUCUCAGGGGCCUUCUACUUUGUCGCUACAGUGGUCUCCACAAUUGGCUUUGGCAUGACCACUCCUGUCACCGUUGCAGGUAAGAUCUUUUUGAUAUUCUACGGACUCCUUGGCUGCGCAGCAACAAUCCUCUUCUUCAACCUUUUCCUGGAGCGCAUCAUCACGAUGUUGGCCUACAUCAUGCGCUGGUGUCACGAGCGCCAACUGCGCCGCUCCGGCAUGGGAGGAGAGGAGGCCAGGAGCGAGGACGACAGUCUGGAGGGCUGGAAACCAUCGGUCUACUAUGUAAUGCUCAUUCUGGGCAUCGCCGCCCUGCUGAUCGCAUGCAGUGCGUCUGCGCUGUACUCUGCCAUGGAGGACUGGGACUACUUUGAGUCCUUGUACUUCUGCUUUGUGGCCUUCAGCACCAUUGGCUUCGGGGAUGUGGUUAGCAGCCAACGGGAGAGCUAUAAAGCUCAAGAAGCCUACCGUCUCGGCAACUGCCUCUUCAUCCUCAUGGGUGUGUGUUGCAUUUAUUCCCUGUUCAAUGUAAUUUCCAUCAUUAUCAAGCAGACGCUCAACUGGAUCCUCGGCAAACUGGACUGCAGCAAGGCUCAGUGUUCGUGCCGUGGCUGUCCAUACAGAAGACGAGGUCAGGCCUGUUGUUGCUGUUGCUUUCCACGAAUUCCCAACCAGCGGCACAACCACCACCCUCCGCCGGGACAUUCCCGGCAGAGGGCUCAAAAGCGCAACGCCGUGCACCCUGCCCCGGCUAACGAAGCUACAGGAAAGCGCUUCACUAAUGCAUCAGUGGAAACAGUUUGUGAUAGUGAGACUGAUGCUGGCUUAGGACCAGAUGGAGGUUAUCUGACAGGGCGCAGACUGUCUGGAGAAAUGAUCUCAGUCAAUGACUUUAUGGCCAACAAGGUUUCUCUGGCCAUUCUACAGAAGCAACUCUCAGAGACCGCUCACGGUAAUCCAAGACAGAGCCACGUUCGCCAGAACGGCUUCUCCGGUGGUGUGGGCGCCUUUGCUAUCAUGAAUAACCGCCUUCAGGAGACAAGUGUCGACAGAGUCACUUUGAUGCUGAAGUGAUUGGCCGGUGUGGUGAGCAAUCACACUGUGCCUCUGGAGAGAUCCUUUAACGGCUCUUCAUGAAAACAGACUGAUUUUCAAGAGUCAGGCAGAUGUAGCCAUGGCACUUACAGAGAGACAGUCCCGGAGGAAGACAUACAAGUGUCAAAUCAAAGGGAGAUGAUGGUGUUACAUGAGGAGCGAGUCUCUACUGUUCUCAUGAGGAUGACAGUGGUACUGCUUACCGAUGGUGUUGAAAUAUGAGCUCAAACACACUCACAAAAUGUAUGACUAUAAUUACCUAUAGGCCAUAAAGUCUCUUUAUGUAGCAGGACAGACAUUAAUAAACUGAAAUCUCAUGAAUAGCUUGAUCUGUUUAUUUUUAUUACUCAACCUUUAACCUUUAUGUUAGCACAAAUAUUGCACAAGAUCUGUCAAAUGUGCACAAAGAUGAUUACACAACAUGAUAUAGCACUGCAUCAGUUAAUUUGCUAGUCAUUAGGAAAUAUCUCGGUAUUAUUACACGCUUAUAAAUUGGCAUAAUUUCAAAGAGGUCAGUAAGGCAACACAGCACAGAUCAUGCAAACAGAGUAGAGCGUAUUACAGGAAACAACUAUUCAAGAACAGGAAAAGUUGCACUCUGUGACCAUAUUAUGAGCCUGUAUAAACCAACAUGUAAAAGUGCUUGUAUUUAAUAGAAUUUGCACUUUAGAGAUUUUAGCAUUUCAAAUUUGACCUUAAUUCUUAAAGGAAGAGUUGACACAAAAAUAAAAAUCCUGUCAUUAGUUACUUAACAUCAUUUUUUCCAAACCUGUAUGCU